AGCUUUUAGAAUACACCAUAAUCACCCAAUCUCCUGAAAAGGACAAAAAGCUGAUCCCACAGUUACAAAUACUCAACUAUCCCACACAGUAUACAAGAAAACAGACAGAGUUAUGACUCCUGUCCUCUGAAGAUGCCGGCCAGAGAGACUGGUGAAAUGUUAGGAAGAAAAACCUCUAGAACACAGCCAAACAGCCCCAAAAAACCUACAACAACUAAAGAAGGAAUACCCUUUUAUGGCUCAAGCCUAGUGACAACCCUUUCUAUCAAUGUUUCUUUAAUUUUAUAAUGAAGUGAGAAGUAAACUUGAUUAGGAGAUUGGAUUCAUGUAAUAAAAGACCAAUUUUUCUUGUUGGCUUAUAUCCAAGAUGGAAGUACCAGGUAUUUCAAUGUCUUCUACAUCAAUGGAAUUUGUGAUAUGGCUGAAGGAAACAUAAAUGAAUUUGCAAUACAAGAUGAAUAUAGAUUUUGACUUCUGUUCUCACUAAAAGAACCUGUUUUUUUGUUGUUGUUGUUUUGUUUUGAAAUAGUAGCCCCAUGGCAAGAUUCCUACAUCAGAUGUUUGCACGAAAAAGCACCAAUUGUGUGGGUAGCCUAAAUACAAUGAUUGAAAAAGUUACUUAUUUAAGACAAUUCUGGGAGUUGUAGUCCACAAACAAUAACUUUUUCCAGCUCCGGCUGGAGGAUAGAGUUCUUUCUUGUCUCAGUACUACACUUCACCAGUAGCAACAAGUACUGGCAUUGAGGGUAAUCACAUAGUUUGGUGUGACUGUUGUUUGUAUAUGUUCAUCAGCCAAAUACUUGCCACAGGGUAGGGUUGUUGUUGGCUUUUGUUUUGUCUUUGGUGGCCAGCCAUAUUAUAGGGGCAAUGUUGGGCCUUAAGAGCAGAUUUGGAACUUGUUCCUAUGUUUCUCUCAAACUGGCUCCCAUAUGAUUCUUCAGUUAGCCUGGACUGAUGUCCCACAGUAUCAGCUGGCAGCAAGAACAUCCCGGACAGAAUUCAGUUCAGACUGGCCUUUGAACGAAGUCAUGGACAAAAGGCAAAAAUCCAACUCAACGUGGUGGCUGAUCGUAGCAUUGCAAGAAAAAAAGAGAAAUGAUACGUAUGGCAUCGUAUAGUUGUGAUCCUAUACACUCCUAGCAGCCACAAUCCUACGCAUUCCCAGAUGCUCUGAUUCAGCAGAAGCACAUAGAUAACUACAGGAACAAUAAGCAACACAGCAAUUCAGCAAUCCUAUUUGAGGCCACAAGAUGAUGAUGCUAUUAUCAAAGAUGUGACAAGUGCUUCCCCUGGCACUUCCGGAGAAAAGGUUCAAAAGAUACAUAACUAGCACGGCUGACAUUGUACAGUGUAAUAGAUGGAAGUGGCUCAAAGACCCAUGGCUUUUAUGCUGGCAAUCAGUGGAGUGUUAGAGGUGUUUCGUUUUCACUGGCCCAGGGAUACCAUUGCCUGGAGAAGACACAAGUAGCCACCUGGGGAGCCAGAAGCAACCUCCACUUAUCAACAGCUGAAGCAGGAGGAGCCAGAGACAAUUUAACUGUCUCUGG
Molecule: long non-coding RNA, 1547 nt
Organism: Pogona vitticeps (central bearded dragon)
Lineage: Eukaryota; Metazoa; Chordata; Lepidosauria; Squamata; Agamidae
Source: Ensembl